RNAcentral lists this ribosomal RNA (497 nucleotides) under uncultured bacterium. RNAcentral's name for it is "partial 16S ribosomal RNA". It matches the Rfam family "Bacterial small subunit ribosomal RNA", at positions 28 to 507 of the family's 1533-position model. The record is from RNAcentral.
GAUGAACGCUGGCGGCGUGCCUAAUACAUGCAAGUCGAGCGAACAGAUGAGGAGCUUGCUCCACUGACGUUAGCGGCGGACGGGUGAGUAACACGUGGAUAACCUACCUAUAAGACUGGGAUAACUUCGGGAAACCGGAGCUAAUACCGGAUAAUAUAUUGAACCGCAUGGUUCAAUAGUGAAAGACGGUUUUGCUGUCACUUAUAGAUGGAUCCGCGCCGCAUUAGCUAGUUGGUAAGGUAACGGCUUACCAAGGCAACGAUGCGUAGCCGACCUGAGAGGGUGAUCGGCCACACUGGAACUGAGACACGGUCCAGACUCCUACGGGAGGCAGCAGUAGGGAAUCUUCCGCAAUAGGCGAAAACCUGACGGAGCAACGCCGCGUGAGUGAUGAAGAUCUUCGGAUCGUAAAACUCUGUUAUUAGGGAAGAACAAAUGUGUAAGUAACUAUGCACGUCUUGACGGUACCUAAUCAGAAAGCCACGGCUAACUACGUG